Molecule: long non-coding RNA, 833 nt
Organism: Bos taurus (domestic cattle)
Lineage: Eukaryota; Metazoa; Chordata; Mammalia; Artiodactyla; Bovidae
Source: Ensembl
CUUAAACUGAGUAAUUCCAGAUUAUCAGUGGGAAAUAAGACACACGCACACCCUCCUUCUUGGAGAAAUAAUUAAUUUAGGCAGCCCGGGUUUUCGCAGCCGCGGCCGGAAAUGAGCCUCGGUCUAGCCCUUUGACGGAGAGGGAUCCCCCCACCCCUCCCAGGCGGGACCGAGGCGUACGAGCGAGGGCUGGGUGCCCUGCCGGAGGUGGGUGCUCCAGGCGCUGGGAGAGAAAGACAGCGCUCACCGGGGCCCGGGCCGCGUUCCCGGGUCGUCUGCAGGAACCCAGGGCAUUGAGGACCAUACAAGAAAAAAGGGAGAGAUCUUUCUGCCAUCUGGAGACUUCUACACCAAGUUCAGGUUCCGGUCUGUGGAGGACCCAACAUAUGUACAAGCACAAAGUACUCUGCAGAACACAGAGAGAUGUCUUUCUGGAAAGAUUUCUAGACUGGGAAUUAGGAUCCUUCAGUUUCACUGCUGUUUCCACUACCUAUUAACAUAUGACCUUGAGCAAGUCACCUAUUACGGCAGAGCGAAGGUUCCUCACCUCUGAUUGGGUACAUUGCCUACCUGUCCCGCCCACCUCACACCGUCGGGCAGGGCCGAAAUGAGCGAAAAUGCAUUGAUCACUGUGAAGAGCUGUUCAAAUGUAUUUUUAUGACUGACUUCCCAGAAUUCUGAGGUCCUAUUGAGACUCUACAUUCAUGUGUUUUGAAAAGAGUGAAUUACUAUACACGUGGGGGGAUUUUUUUGGUCAUAUUAAAAAGCCCCCUUUGUUGUACAGCAGAAACUAACACAGCAUUGUAAAGCAAUUAUACUCCAAUAAAUUUUUC